GGCGCUGUAGCACAGUGGGUUAAAGCCCUGGCCUGCAGUGCCAGUUUCCCAUAUCAGCGCCA
RNAcentral lists this transfer RNA (62 nucleotides) under Oryctolagus cuniculus (rabbit). The record is from Rfam by way of RNAcentral. Lineage: Eukaryota; Metazoa; Chordata; Mammalia; Lagomorpha; Leporidae.